RNAcentral lists this ribosomal RNA (253 nucleotides) under uncultured bacterium. Its description in RNAcentral is "partial 16S ribosomal RNA". It matches the Rfam family "Bacterial small subunit ribosomal RNA", at positions 524 to 776 of the family's 1533-position model. The record is from RNAcentral.
UACAGAGGGUGCAAGCGUUGUUCGGAAUUAUUGGGCGUAAAGCGCGUGUAGGCGGCUUAGCAAGUCGGGCGUGAAAGCCCUCGGCUCAACCGAGGAAGUGCACCCGAAACUGCUGAGCUUGAGUGCCGGAGAGGAUGGCGGAAUUCCCCAAGUAGAGGUGAAAUGCGUAGAGAUGCGGAGGAACACCGAUGGCGAAGGCAGCCCCCUGGGCCAAUACUGACGCUCAGGCACGAAAGCGUGGGGAGCAAACAGG